Arachis stenosperma is the source of this 1538-nucleotide long non-coding RNA. RefSeq lists it as uncharacterized. The record is from RefSeq and is a predicted model, not a curated record. Lineage: Eukaryota; Viridiplantae; Streptophyta; Magnoliopsida; Fabales; Fabaceae. The transcript is spliced from 5 exons.
CUCACCUCACUACACGCACAUAUACGGUUACAGGGACAGGGAAAAAUCAGAAACACCAACACACCCACACACCGAAGCACUCAAGCCCGAGGAAGAAGAAGAGAAUAGGAAGGGGAAGACCGCGCCAGCGCACUAGACCUCAUCGCCACCGUCGCGUCGUCGUUAAACCAUGGAGAGAGAGAGAGAGAGAUCAUUCGCGGUGGGAGCCAGUGGAGAGAGAGGCGAGUGCAAGCCAGGACCGGGAGGGAGAAGGCGCCGCCGUGCAUCCUCGUUGCCGUCACUGGAGAUCUAGUCACCGCCGUCGAUCGUCCUUGAACCGCGUCGGAAACAGAGCUGUGAACGAGAGGGACGCGUGGCAGGAGCCCGACGCGAGAGGGAGAGCGCGUGCAUGCACACAAGGGAAGGACGACGUUGCUGGCGUUGUCGUCGCUGAGGUUUCACCGCCGCUGUGAAAGCUCUGUCACUGUCCAGCUGUCGCCGUCACUGUGGGUCGCGUUGCCAAGUUUUUGUUGUGGGAACCCACUUCUGUUGCUGUCAUCAAAGAUUCGGGCCGCCGCCGUCACUUGAGGUAGUUCCCGGAGCUGCUGUCGCUCUGUUGCCUCAUUUCUCUUUAGCCGCAGGUUGAGUUUUGGAAAUUGUAUGAUUAAAAUAAAAGCCGAUGCAGUGUCAUCCUGCAUUGUUUCUCGCGAUAAGUCAUCAUUGUUGUGAACCUUGAUUGUCGCUGUUGAUAUUGCCUAGAAGUCAAUGAGGUUGCUGUCGCAAGUUAAGAAUAAAAAGGGAUUCAAUUUUUGAGAUUUCAUUUUUAGUGACAGGUUCAGGAAGCAUUGGCGCGAAGCCGCGGCCGAUCUACAAGAUUUAUACAUAUAUGUUGUAUUUUUUUUGUUUGAUGGUUUAGUUGAGAUUUUUACCCCUCGUCAAUUGUCAUUUUGAGAUUUUAGAGGGGCAGGACUUGUAUUUUAAGUUUUGAAUAAGUCUAUGUAUUUAUUAUUGUGUGAUUAGGUGAAUUAAGUAAAGACUUUUCGAUUUCAUAACUAGGGAUUCGGUUUGUAUUUGUGAAGGCUCAAUAUUAAAUAAAUAUAAUAUUAAAUUAAAGGAGAAGAGUUUAGUAAUGCUUGGACUUUUAGUACGAUCAUGAGGUGCUAAAAGUUAGGGUGUUACAGAAUGAAUGCCAAUAAUCCUCCUGUAAUACUAAAUAGGGAAAUGACACUACAAGAAAAAUAUUGAGUACCGUCAGAUUUAGCGUCACAGAGUAGCGGCGGAUUUACUAGCAAUAACCACGUCAAAUUCAUAAGGUUUUUUUAAUUACCGAUGGAUUUUAUUUUUUAAAGGUAAAUCCGCCAGUAAUUUUUGGAGGAAAAAUAAAUUAAAUUGGCGAUGCAUUUUGUUGACCCACAAUGGUUUACCGUUAUAAUUUUCUGAUGGUAAAUUUGAUCGUAAAGGUGGCUUAAAUUAAAAUCACGAACCCCUUUCCCCUCAUUCGAGCCCUCACCACCAUCUCCACCAUGCCUUUCUCUCUCGUGUUCCAGCUGCCGCCAUCG